UACGUAGGGUGCGAGCGUUAAUCGGAAUUACUGGGCGUAAAGCGUGCGCAGGCGGUUUUGUAAGUCUGUCGUGAAAUCCCCGGGCUUAACCUGGGAAUUGCGAUGGAGACUGCAAGGCUAGAAUCUGGCAGAGGGGGGUAGAAUUCCACGUGUGAGCAGUGAAAUGCGUAGAGAUGUGGAGGAAUACCGAUGGCGAAGGCAGCCUCCUGGGCCAACACUGACGCUCAUGCACGAAAGCGUGGGAGCAAACAGG
This 253-nucleotide ribosomal RNA is filed under the name uncultured bacterium. Its description in RNAcentral is "partial 16S ribosomal RNA". It matches the Rfam family "Bacterial small subunit ribosomal RNA", at positions 524 to 776 of the family's 1533-position model. The record is from RNAcentral.